GGACUACCCGGGUAUCUAAUCCCGUUCGCUCCCCUGGCUUUCGCCCCUGAGCGUCAGAUACGAGCCAGGACACUGCCUUCGCCUUUGGUGUUCUUCCGGAUAUCUACGCAUUUCACUGCUUCACCCGGAGUUCCAUGUCCCUCUCUCGCUCUCAAGUCCACCAGUUUUUGCGGCUCUCUCCUCGUUAAGCGAGGAGCUUUCACCCCAAACUUGGCGAACCGCCUGCGGGCCCUUUACGCCCAAUAAAUCCGGACAACGCUCGCCCCCUACGUAUUACCGCGGCUGCUGGCAC
This 292-nucleotide ribosomal RNA is filed under the name uncultured bacterium. Its description in RNAcentral is "partial 16S ribosomal RNA". The record is from RNAcentral.